This is a long non-coding RNA of Xiphophorus couchianus (Monterrey platyfish), 692 nucleotides long. RefSeq lists it as uncharacterized. The transcript is spliced from 5 exons. The record is from RefSeq and is a predicted model, not a curated record. NCBI's taxonomy places the organism in Eukaryota, Metazoa, Chordata, Actinopteri, Cyprinodontiformes, Poeciliidae.
GUUGCAGAAUCCACAGCGACAAAGUACAAGUAUUGGGUUGUCUGGAUGCAGCUCAAGGCAGUAUAACCAUCGCCCUGGUCUCUCACAAUGUGCACAAAAUAGGCUGCCAUUGGAUAUAUCACAGACAAACUCCGACCUGAAUGAUGUAUUGGAUUCAGCGCCUAAUCAAGGUUUCGAAGAUGCAACCACACAAAGGGCCAGCAAUAAUGGGCAGCUUUUGAGAGGCAAGUCUAUUGGACAUAAUGUAUUUGUAAUGUGUCAUUUUCAGGUUAUUUUGAUGUUGCACUUAAAGAUUCUUAAUGUUCUCCUGAAGACCUCGCUAUCCAUAAGAUGACAUCGAUGCUUGCUGAAGCUCUUGUGAUUGUGAAGGAUCUAUCCAGAGAUGUCCAAUUCAUUAAGAACAAUUUGGCUCAGAGUAACAUUACACCAGGUAGCACACAAGGACCAGCAAACCUUGUACUCCCCUUCCAGCUGCCAAUUGAAAGUGAAGAAGAUUUCAGUAAAGCAGAGUCAUUACUGAUUGAAGAGACAGUGCGUCAAAAGAUGAUUGCUCGACUGGCUCUAGUAGGAGGCACCAAUUCAGCCAACAUGGUAAGAAGAAUGUUGACAACUUGUAUGAGAAAUGCCCUGGCAAGUCAGUUCAACUGGGCUGGGAAGAAACAUAGGCAUUCCCAGAGUAAAAAGCCAUUCAA